RNAcentral lists this ribosomal RNA (521 nucleotides) under Habronattus ocala. Its description in RNAcentral is "partial 16S ribosomal RNA". It matches the Rfam family "Bacterial large subunit ribosomal RNA", at positions 1831 to 2706 of the family's 2925-position model. The record is from RNAcentral. Lineage: Eukaryota; Metazoa; Arthropoda; Arachnida; Araneae; Salticidae.
UUCUAUUAGGAUUAAUUAAUAGUAAAAUCUGCUCCAUGUUUAAUAAAUAGCCGCAAUUUGUGCUAAGGUAGCAUAAUCAUUUGUCUUUUAAAUGAAGACUAGAACAAAAGAUUUAACAUUUUUAGUUUAUUUACCUAAUUUAUCUUAUCAAAUUUUUCCUAAAUGUAAAAAGACAUUUAUUUAAAAGAAAGACGAUAAGACCCUAUUGAACUUAACUGUAGUUAAACUGGGGCAGUAAAUUAAUUAUUAUUUUAAUAUAAAUUAUUACAUAAAUAUCUAAUAAAAUUAAAUAAUUCAGUUACCAUAGGGAUAACAGCGUAAUAAUCUUCUAAAGAUCUUAUUUAAAAUAUAGAUUACGACCUCGAUGUUGAAUUAAUAACCUAAUUAAGGCAAAACUUAAAAAAGGAAGUCUGUUCGACUUUUAAAAAAUUACAUGAUUUGAGUUCAGACCGGUGCAAGCCAGGUCGGUUUCUAUCUUCUAAAAAGUUUUUUACAGUACGAAAGGACCUAAAAAUCUAAUA